RNAcentral lists this ribosomal RNA (206 nucleotides) under uncultured bacterium. Its description in RNAcentral is "partial 16S ribosomal RNA". It matches the Rfam family "Bacterial small subunit ribosomal RNA", at positions 568 to 774 of the family's 1533-position model. The record is from RNAcentral.
CGUCUAGGCGGCCUUUUAAGUCUGAUGUGAAAAUGCGGGGCUCAACUCCGUAUUGCGUUGGAAACUGGAAGGCUAGAGUAUCAGAGAGGUGGGCGGAACUACAAGUGUAGAGGUGAAAUUCGUAGAUAUUUGUAGGAAUGCCGAUUGGGAAGCCAGCUCACUGGAUGAAUACUGACGCUGAAGCGCGAAAGCGUGGGGAGCAAACG